AUCCAGCUGACGUGUCCCAAACAGGACGAAACGCGUGUCCUGGAU
RNAcentral lists this non-coding RNA (45 nucleotides) under Schistosoma margrebowiei. Lineage: Eukaryota; Metazoa; Platyhelminthes; Trematoda; Strigeidida; Schistosomatidae. The record is from RNAcentral.